UCUGCCGCCGCCCGCUUCUGGGCUUUCUUGGCUGGGGCUGCUCCUGACAGAAGGGAUGCAUGUUGUCAGGGGCGGGGGGCUUGGCAUGUGUGUGUGUGCAUGUGCGAGUAUGUGUGUGUGUUUAAAAUACAAAAAAAAAAAAGCGUGGCUACACCCAGCUGCGAGAGGCUGGCCGGGCUCCGUCCGUGCCAGUUGCCUCUGAGCUGGCACUGUGGGGACAGGAGGAGGGAGAGGUGAGAGCUGCCACGGAGGGAAGAUGGACGCUUGCCAUGGACGAACAGCGGGCUAGGUGCCUCCUGGGUGCCCGUGGGCUCACGGGGCCAAAACCCAUAAACAAAAACCACAGAAAAUCGCCAGCAGCCCAUCUUGGGGAGGCAGCAGCCGCUUCGCAGCGGAGCCAUGGAGGACCCAGCUGGGAGCAGGUGGACAGUGGCGGCCAGCGAGGCACAGAUACUGGCUCAGCCGGGACACCUCGUCGUCCCAUCUGCCACUGGGAUCCCAGAGGCGGGAGAGCAGAGAAGUGCUGCAGAAGGGCCUGACGGAAGCAGUGCCUGCCUCCACAGUUAACCUCAUGGCCCAUGCGUCUAAAAAGCCUUGCUGCUGACAUGGGAAGAACCUCACCUGGAAGAAGAGCGCCCCUGGGAGAGAGCCUGGGACCUGCCCACCUCCCUCCGAGGUCCUAUCUGCUCGGCCAGGGGUCUUGCCACCUCACCACAGGAGACUACCUCAGGCCUCUGCACAAGCCAGUUCCUCUCCCUGAAGGUCCUUUCCUUCCUCCUGCCUUUUGUCCAAGCCCAGCUUUUCUGAGGACGUGGCAUCUGAGCAGACUUGAAGGAGGGAAUAUCUUCUUUGCACCAAGGCAAGGCAAGGCUGACGGUCGCUCACAUCUUUCGGCUGCCCCUGGCCAGGCUGGGACAUGGGGGAGGAGGAGUGAGGAACGGGUGAGGGGCGCCAUCCCAUCCCUGCCCUGCUUGCCCUCAGUCUCCCUGCUUCUCCCAGUCCCUGACGCCUCUCUCCUGUCUGCCUUUUGAUUCCUUCUUUUUGUGGGUUCUCUCCCAAAUGAUUCGCACCCGCCAGCUCCAAGCCCCCUCGCUCUGCCCGUCCUCACCCCUCACCCACAUCUUGAAUGCCAGCCCAGCCCUGAUGAUGAGGGAUUAAUUACAAGCAGCCUUAACCCACAACCCGGAGGGUGAUCCCAGGAGCUGGGGCAGAUCCUUUGUUCCUAAGAGGAGCCUGUCACGGUUGAGGAACAGGCAGGUUCAAGCCUCCUGCCCCCCACCACCGCCAUAGAUCUGGGGGAGCCGUGAUUAUCUCCUUUCCCAGAAGAGGAAGCUGAGGUUCCGAGAGGUUAUCAGUCACAGUCACCUUGCUCAGCGCUGGCAACUCUUGACAGAGAGAGGAAUUGCCAAGAGGCCGGGCCUGCGGAGACAGUCUUGGUCCAGCACGGGGCAGGCGCCGAGGUCUGCUCACCUCACCUGUGUCUCCUCCCUCCUCUGCGAGGCGGGACGGUCCUCCCCACAUGACAGCGAGCAAAGACAACCUGUGCAGCAGCUCAUGGGAAGGGCCAGCCCGUGGAGCAGCAAAGGGGGCUGCCUCCUCUGUGCCCCUGGUUUAGUGUCAUCGGUGCCCCUGUAGUGGACUGAACAGUUUCCCCAAAAGAUAUGUCCACAUCCCAACCCCCAGAACCUGUAACUGUGACCUUGUUUGGAGGAAGGGUCUUUGCAGAUGUGAUUAAGUGAAGAAUCUCAAGAUGAGGUCAUCCUGGAUUAGGGUGGCCCCAAAUCCAUUGACUAAGGUUUUCAUAAGGGAAGAGAAAGAUUUAGACACAGAGGGAGAGGCCAUGUGAGGACAAGGGCAGAGGUUGGAUGGGUGUGGCCCCAAGCCAAGGCAUGCCUGGGGCUCCCAGGAGCUGGAAGAGGCAGGAAGGACCGUUCCCCAGAGCCUCCAGAGGGAGCGCAGCUCUGUGACACCUGGAUUUCAGACUCUGCCUCCAGAACUGGGAGGGAACAGAUUCUUGUUGUAGGCCUCCCAUCUGACCUCACAGCAGCACCAGGACAUUCCCAGCAUCCCCCACCUGGCUGAGAGCCCCCGGUGGGCAUGGAUGGCAGUAUUCCGAUCCACUCUAAAGCUGCAGCAACAAGCCUGGUGCCUGCAAUCACAAAGAUGCUCAGUGGAAGUUCAUUGGACAAGUGAAUGAACCCAGGGGUAAGGAUGGGGUCUGAGCAUGUAAGAGCUCAGGUGACCGGGAAGCCACACACAACAGGUUAGUGUGCUGAGCUCAAGAAAAUCAAAGGCAACGGGACAGCAUGCUCCCCCCGCAACUCCCAUGUGCAACCACAUUUCUAGCUCCUCAUAUCGGGGUACGUGUGCCAUCUUGGGGUUCCACUUCCUCCCCGGAGACGCAGAGAUGCUGGCUCCGGAGACCCGAGCAGGCUCUGUUCCAGCCACCGAGUGGGGGACAGCUGAGUGGGUGGGUGUGGUUCUCCAUUCACGUGGACAUUUCUGUGAGUGGGAAAUGAAUUUUGGGGAGCAAUUUGCUCUGGCAGCCGGCCUGGCCUGCUCUAACUAACAGUGGCCAUCCUCCAAGAACAGCGAUCCUCAUGUUUGUGAGCGUGGAACCCCAUCCGAGGGAUGUGGGAGACAUUUUGCGUCCUCACAAAUGGUGUGACAGCCAGGGGCUGCCCCAGGAAGGGAUUGGGAUGGAAAUAGUGCAGUUGAUCUAAAAAGCAGAAAGCCAGCGUCCGUGGGGAGGGCAGCCGUGUGCCGCUUGGGAUGUGUUAUUUUCCAGAUUUCAUGCUGGAGAACAGAAAGGAGAGGCACUGCUGGGGAUCGAUGUGGUUUCUGUCACUAAAGAGAGAAAGGUCAAGGCUGGAGAUGAUGCAUUGCCGCACCGCCGGGAGCCACAGAGGUUCUUGGCUAAGCUGUUGUUCCCGCCAGCGGCCUGAGGAGACCACACCUUAUGGGGUCAUCCCCUCACCCCCGCAGACCCAGGCCUGCCUAUCACCAAGACCUCCCUUGCACAUGGGACCAGGCAUGAGGGUGGGUAUAUGAGGGCCACUCUCAUUGGGCCUCGGGUGAUUGCAUCUGGGAGGGGGUGGGCAGAAGCGGGAUACUCAGCGGUGGUCAGAGCAAGAGAGAAGCGCCCUGGCUGGAGGGGAAGGACCCCCAGGAGGAUGGAGGCAGGACAUGUUUGGGCCCAGGACCCAUGUGUCCCCGCACGGAGGGGAAUGUUUGGGGAGCUGUCCAUCUGGCCAGGGUGGCAGACAUGUGAAGGAGCGAGCAGAGAGUGAGAAAGGAUGAGUAUUACUGGGUUAACCCAUUGGGGUCCCGGCGAAGAGGCUCCCCCAAAGAGGUCACAGUGGGAGAUCUGGGGGAGCUGCUCACACCUAGAUUCCUCUUUCUUACACACGUGUGUCCCACACCAGCGGGUCACUAGGGGGGUGGAGGAGCAAGUACAGUGGGCCCAGGAGACUAGGCUAGGAGGAGAUGGGAGCUGGAAAAGCCUGGAGGAAACUAGAGGACGUACAGGUCACGCAGGGCAGUGACAACACAGCCAGAACAGGCCUCCCAUAGCCUGGCAAGGGUGUGAGUGGGCAGAUGACAGCCCCUAGGAUUGCAUCCCAGCUGUCACCCUGAUUCCUCACAACCAGCACAAAGGAGACACUGUCAUCACCCCAGUGUGCUGCCAGAAAUGCAGGGGCCAAGAGCUGGAAGGUGCGGUCGGUCAGGACGAGGCAGAGCCACGGGGCAGGCCUCCUGCUCCCAGACAGGGUCAGGGCCCCUCCACAAGUAAGGGCCAUUCGAAUGCCAAGUGAAAAGCCCUCAUUAGCUAAUAAAAAGUGCUUGCCUUCCCUUGUCACGUAAUUAAUGGGAUCUAGGACGUCAAUUAAGCUCUGUCCAACUUGCAAAAGGCCACAGUCACAGCUCCACAGACAGGCCAGUGCUGGGCAACUCCCAGCCUCACCCACCUGCCUCUGCCUCAGCGAGGCUGCUCCUUGCUCCCCCUUUCCCUUUGGACACCCUCCCACCAAAGAUGGGGAGCACAGCUGGGCGCUGGG
Molecule: long non-coding RNA, 4058 nt
Organism: Phyllostomus hastatus (greater spear-nosed bat)
Lineage: Eukaryota; Metazoa; Chordata; Mammalia; Chiroptera; Phyllostomidae
Exons: 5
Source: RefSeq, a predicted model, not a curated record